AAUCAGCCAGAAUCAGCGUUACCUCUUCUAAAUUCGUGCCACGUGGCCUCCUCUCCCUUCGGCGGCUUUGCCCGCAUCCUCGCCUUGUUUGGUUGGGCCGUUCCCGGCCAGGAUUGGGGUCCAAUCCCCGUCGAUCACCCCGGCGAGGAAACAAUCCAGGCCCAUCCGAAAUUGUGUGUUCGGUUAAGCCCAGUCUGGGUUUUACCCCGGCCUAUCCCGGCCUUUCCCCCUCACCCAGGCCCGGGAAAAAAAUCAACUUCUCGUGUGGCGUGGAAAAAUUCCUCACGACGGGAGCCGGGAGGCGACGCGCAACACGCGUAG
This 321-nucleotide long non-coding RNA is filed under the name Oryza sativa Indica Group (long-grained rice). Its description in RNAcentral is "lncRNA OsLiXu_07g0010390". RNAcentral also lists the same sequence under 2 other names. The record is from RNAcentral. Lineage: Eukaryota; Viridiplantae; Streptophyta; Magnoliopsida; Poales; Poaceae.